UACGUAGGGUGCAAGCGUUGUCCGGAAUUAUUGGGCGUAAAGAGCUCGUAGGCGGUUUGUCGCGUCGGCUGUGAAAACCUGGGGCUCAACCCCGGGCCUGCAGCCGAUACGGGCAAACUAGAAUUCGGUAGGGGAGACUGGAAUUCCUGGUGUAGCGGUGAAAUGCGCAGAUAUCAGGAGGAACACCAAUGGCGAAGGCAGAUCUCUGGGCCGUAACUGACGCUGAGGAGCGAAAGCAUGGGGAGCGAACAGG
Molecule: ribosomal RNA, 253 nt
Filed under: uncultured bacterium
Lineage: Bacteria
Description: partial 16S ribosomal RNA
Rfam family: Bacterial small subunit ribosomal RNA
Source: RNAcentral